AUGGCGGACGGGUGAGUAACGCGUAAGAACUUGCCCUUUAGACUGGGAUAACAGAGGGAAACUUCUGAUAAUACUGGAUAAGUUAGUAUAUCGCAUGAUAUGCAAAUGAAAGCUACGGCACUAAAGGAGAGCUUUGCGUCCUAUUAGCUAGUUGGUAAGGUAAGAGCUUACCAAGGCGAUGAUAGGUAGCCGGCCUGAGAGGGUGGACGGCCACAAGGGGACUGAGAUACGGCCCUUACUCCUACGGGAGGCAGCAGC
This 258-nucleotide ribosomal RNA is filed under the name uncultured Leptotrichia sp. Its description in RNAcentral is "partial 16S ribosomal RNA". It matches the Rfam family "Bacterial small subunit ribosomal RNA", at positions 95 to 355 of the family's 1533-position model. The record is from RNAcentral. Lineage: Bacteria; Fusobacteriati; Fusobacteriota; Fusobacteriia; Fusobacteriales; Leptotrichiaceae.